CUAACUAAUUGAUAUUCGAACUAUGAUUGUAUAUUGAUGCAAAGGAUUGUAUUGAUGCAAAGGUCUACCCACAUCCUCUCUGUAAGGAACAUUCGAUUUCUUAAAGUCAAAACACCAAUGUUAUAUACACGUCAACUAACUAAUGGAUAUUUAAGCGAUGAUUGUAUUGAUGCAAAGGUCUACCCACAUCCUCUCUGGAAUGAACAUUCGAUUUCUUCGACUUUUGCGAUGUGAUAAUCAUGCUAAAAACAGAGAAACAAUAAUGAAAUUCAUUUCUUUACUACCACACAUGUUUUAUCGAAAAAUCUCAACUGUCGCGAAUCAUAUUUUACGUUUAGUAUAUAUUUAUAUAAUUUAUAGCUAAGUGUAUUUAGGUAAGGACUGCGUCCUCGUUCAUCGUAAUUCACAUCUAUAACUAUACCGUUAAGUCAAAGCA
Long non-coding RNA from Xenia sp. Carnegie-2017, 436 nucleotides. RefSeq lists it as uncharacterized. The record is from RefSeq and is a predicted model, not a curated record. The transcript is spliced from 2 exons. Lineage: Eukaryota; Metazoa; Cnidaria; Anthozoa; Malacalcyonacea; Xeniidae.